AAAAGCUCUUACUCAUCAUUACCCCAAACUUUCCAAAUUAUCAGGAGGAUGGCUUCUGCACAAGGCUCUUGGUAAUGUAGACUUUAAACAGGUUAGAAGGUCAGGGGUUUCUUAUUACUUUUUAUUUCCAAUCUUUUAAUUAUUCUUAAUUGCUCCUCAUAGGUGGAUCUGGACAAAGAAAACUUACAGUCGUCCCCCCAGAAGCUGAGGGAUAUAAUACUCAGUAUUUAAGAUCUGUGAGUGGAGGGGGUAAAACACUUUGUACAUAGUUCCACUCCAGGAGGAACUAGACACAUUGCCUCUUCCUGUUGAUGCACAUGAAUUCCAGAAGAUGCCAAAGGCAACUUGCCAAGCCUGCGGGUUGUCUAUGCCUUUGCAAAUUUUGGCUGUUCAUGUUAAAUCAUGUUGCAUUGGCAGGUCAUCCACAGAGUACGACUCUCUCUACGAUGAUUGUUGUUCUUCCCCUGAUGUGUCUAUUGUUGGGGAGUUCUCCUCUGUGAACUCUGUGGAAACCACUGGUACAAGUACAUCCAGAAAGCCUUCCUGUGAUAUGUCUGAAUUAUCUGGAGUGAACUCUUCUGUGGCAGCCAAUAGUAACAGUACAUCUAUGUCUAAGGUAAUGGCAUUUAUGCAAUUCCUACAAUUGGUCUUACUUAAUAGAUAUUACACUCAUUCUAUUUUAAGUAGUACAUUUCUUGUUUUUCACUGGAGGUAAUAUUGAUAUCUUCUAUUCAGGGCUCAUGUCCAGUGUGCCUCAUGAUUUUCCCAUUGGAUUAUUUGGAAGUCCAUGCUAGCUUGUGUGGUGAAAGGUGACAAAUUAAAAAUGUUUGUUUAAUGUAUAAAUCUUUAAAAAAGAAAAUCCCUUUAAGUAUUUUUUUUAUGUUUAUAUAUUUGUAAGGAACUAUCCAGUUCUUAAUGUCUAAGUAUAGCAAUAUUUGUUUGCCUCUGGUCCUGGAGGAUCAGAAUCAUUACAGUUUGGUGGUUCACUAAUUCUGGAAAUUAAAAGCAUGUGUUAAAUCAGGUAUGUUGCCAAACUGUGAUUACACAGGCCUUUCAGGGUUCUAGUU
This is a long non-coding RNA of Astyanax mexicanus (Mexican tetra), 1067 nucleotides long. RefSeq lists it as uncharacterized. The record is from RefSeq and is a predicted model, not a curated record. Lineage: Eukaryota; Metazoa; Chordata; Actinopteri; Characiformes; Acestrorhamphidae. The transcript has 3 exons.